RNAcentral lists this small nucleolar RNA (35 nucleotides) under Dasypus novemcinctus (nine-banded armadillo). Lineage: Eukaryota; Metazoa; Chordata; Mammalia; Cingulata; Dasypodidae. The record is from RNAcentral.
UGAUGAAUAAAAUCAAAUCACCAUCUUUCGACUGA